GAUGAAGAACGUAGCGAAAUGCGAUAAGUAGUGUGAAUUGCAGAAUUCAGUGAAUCAUCGAAUCUUUGAACGCACAUUGCGCCCUUUGGUAUUCCAAAGGGCAUGCCUGUUCGAGCGUCAUUUGUACCCUCAAGCUUUGCUUGGUGUUGGGCGUCUUGUCUCUAGCUUUGCUGGAGACUCGCCUUAAAGUAAUUGGCAGCCGGCCUACUGGUUUCGGAGCGCAGCACAAGUCGCACUCUCUAUCAGCAAAGGUCUAGCAUCCAUUAAGCCUUUUUUUCAACUUUUGACCUCGGAUCAGGUAGGGAUACCCGCUGAACUUAAGCAUAUCAAUAAGCGGACGA
This 341-nucleotide unclassified non-coding RNA is filed under the name soil metagenome. RNAcentral's name for it is "partial contains 5.8S ribosomal RNA, internal transcribed spacer 2, and large subunit ribosomal RNA". The stretch from base 1 to 120 matches the Rfam family "5.8S ribosomal RNA", at positions 35 to 154 of the family's 154-position model. The record is from RNAcentral.